CAAACACUCCCCUGGAGGAGAUGAGAGUGCCACAGACGUGGCCACACCCCGCUCUCCUUCAGGUCUUGCCUCUGUAAACUCCUCCAAACCCACCCUUCCACCUUCCAGGCUGGUUUUCAACAGAAAGGGAAAAUGAUUAAUGCUUAUGAUGUUCUGUAUAGUGAAGGAUUAUAUCUUCUCCAGCAUAGAGCUGAGAAUGGCUCAGAUGAAGUGAGUGUGUCCAGAGGUUCUGUGAGGGGUCAGAUCAGUAGAAGGACUCUUGAAAAGCAGCCCAUCCCUGCCUUGGGUUGCAGAAGCAAAAUUAACUGGAUGGCACUUAUAUCAGAAUGAGCUCCAUGACCCUCAUGCUCUUUCUGUCCUGUUGUUGGACCCUUCUAAUGGAACGUACGCAUGAGCACUUCCCAAACCAAAACAGAAGGAGGGAGCAGACAGAGGAAGUGUCAGAAACAUACAGACAGCUGCCUCCGAGGCCUCAAAUGAGAGCUCCGCUGAGGAUAACAUAAGCGGCCUGUUUGCAUAAGAUGUUGUGGGAGGUGACUCAAUGCCUGUGGGGAUGCAUUGAGGAGAUAGACUGUUUGGAUCUCUGCCACCUCCACACUCUCAAUUACAGCAUUUGGCUGGACCACUUCUGGCUGGCCGCGAAAAAGCGGCCUCCACCAGAUGCGCUGGGAGCAGCAGCCAUGCAGUGGUAAACCAGACGCAGAUCACCUACACUUCCUCUGGCUUCUCGCGCUGCAGCAAACACAGUCUAGUCAAAAUAAUAGCGUAAGUUUCUUUUCGAGUUCUCAGACAAAGUGUAAAUAUACUCACAUCAGAUGGAGGCAGAGACAGAAAGACAAAAAAUAAUUCUUCUCAUGAACAGGAAACAUACUCAUGUCAGAAAACAUUGUGUGGUCAUUUAGGCCUCCGUACAUGGCAGUCAUUCCUGAUUAAGCAAUAUUGUACUGCUGUACUGAACAUUAGUCAACAUGUUGAUAUUCAGACCAACAGCACAAUUUUUUUUUUUUGCUUUCAACUGUGCUGAUUUUCCAUUGUUUUUCUCUGUAAACGUGCGCUGGACAUUUUUGACCAUUUUUUUAUUCUUUUUUUGACUCUUUUUCAGUGCCUUGUGGAUGACACUGUUAAAACUUAAAAAAAAAAAAAAAAAAGGCUGCUUGAGGACCAAUAUUAAGUGUCACAUAAUGUAGGACAAAGCACAUGAGAUGAUGAAAUAUAAUGUUGCUCAACUACACAAGCACACCAUCAUGAAUUUAGCGUCUUUUAUUGUUCCCAUUUGUGCUAACUUAAUGUGAGUAACCCAGAGUUCAUUUCAUUACUCAUUCUGUGGUUAUCACUGAUUUGCCCGUCAUGAAGAGGUUCAAAGUGAGGGAUGUAAAAAAAUUAAACUUCAAAUGUAAGAUGGACUGGAAGGAUAUAUUCUAAUAUACUUCAAAAGAUGUACUCUUUCAUUCGGACUUAUAAUCAUUUAUAUUCUUGGGAAACAGUAGUUACAUUUAACUCCCUCAAAAUUAGUAAUUGACUGGUAUGUUUUUCAAAUGUAGGUUCUCAAUAGUUCCACCUUCAUUUUGAAUAUGUGUUUAAAUUAUUGACUAAAUACAUCUGCUUCACUACUAAUAAUCAAAACAUUUCUAUCUCUAAAUCUUUAUAUCAUCAUAGGACAUUUUCUGCUUUCUGACAGAUUAUUCCACUAACAAAACCCUUUGAGGAUUUACCUCAAAGAUGUGUCAGAAACAGUGUUGGGUAAGUUACUUCAAAAAAGUAAUUAAUUACUAAUUACAUCAUCAAUGUUGUGUUUAAAAUACUUUUCUAAUUACUGUCUGAAAAGUAACUUAAUUACUCAAUAAGUAACUUACUAAUUACUUCUUAAAAUCCCUAUAAACCUUGACCAGAUAAACAAUAAAAAGGAAACUCUUUUAAUAAUUUAGUCAAACAUGAAAUAGUUUAGCCUUUUAUAGCUUUUUAAAACAUUUUAACUUUAUUAAAACGUAUACUAUAAUACUUUUAUUUACUUUAUAAUACUUAUUUUUUUUUAGUAACAAAUAGGGAUGUCUUGUCACUAUACCAAAAAUCUAGUAGUCGGUACCAAUACCACCAAAAGUGCACAAUACUGAAUACCACGGUAAAAAUAUAUACAAAUACAAAUAAAACAAUGCUAUAUAUUUUUUUCCCAGGUAGGUCUAAUAGUAGUAAGUAAAAAUACCACAGAAAUUGAAUAAUCAAAUAUAAAAUAACUCUGCAUAGUCAUAACUGUAUAAAUUAAAUAUAGAUUAAUCCUUAUUAAAGCUUUUCUUUUGUUGUUUGAUUAUCAUUUAUAAUACAGACAUCCAAUAGUAGACAGUAGCAUGUUUUAAAGGCUGCUGUCACUAAGACCUAAUGGACGGAGACAAUAUGCUGUUACACAUGCUGUUCACAUUCACAUAACCAACGCGAAUAUACGCCAAGACGGGCAUUUUGACAUAACUGUGUGUGUAUUUGAACGUUUAUGUGUAAUAAACCGCGAAAAUCUAUGUGUGUGCGCUUUGGUCGAGAGCGCACUGACUGAAGACCGUCUCUCAGAGAGCGCGCGCAGUUUUUUCUCUCUAGGACAUAGCUUAGAUUUUACUGUAAUGUUCUUGCCUACCUGUGUCGAAAAAGUGAAGUAAUUGGAAUAUUUUCAUGCUGAAAAACAGCCACUCGCUUCUGCCGACAUCUUCAGACAGCGACUACACAGCUAACUGGUGCGAAGUUGCGAACUCACGAGCAACUCCACUACAGCUAACGAUUUUAAAGAGGCAGCGUUCACUUUUACCUUUAGACGACAAAUUUAAAUUUUAAAUUCAAUAUUGAUUUAAACAGAACUGUUGAACUAAUUUACAGUAUGUAACGCAAAUACAUUAUAACUGUAAUUAAAUUACCUAAAAAUGAACAGUAAUCCCUUACUUUACUUUUUCAGUGGAUAAGUAAUUUAAUUAUAGUAACGCGUUACACCCAACACUGGUCAGAAACUAUUAUAGUAAAUGUCCUCACGGUUCAUGCUGUGGUGCAUUUUACAUAGUUUGACAACUCUUAAAUGAGCUCUGAAAAUUAUUCUCUGGCUAAAUCAGUGGUCUUGACACAUAUUUCUCCUAUUAUAAGACAACCUCAUCUCCUCAAAGAAUACCAAAAGUAUCAGUUGCUUUCAGAAACUGGUGUGUAUGCAGAUGAUUUACAGGAACUGGGAGCCCAAAGGCAAAAGACUUAGUCAUGAUGAUGAGCCCUUGUUCUUUUCAGAGGGUUUCAGAGGUUCAGACUAAAUUUCCCUUAAGACAGUACCAGUGACUGUCUGUACAACAAAAGCUAUUUCAUUUGAAUUUAUGUAUUCUGCAUGAGGUGUUUCGAAUAAAAUAUGAGUUGCUUCUUGUCAAAUUA
Molecule: long non-coding RNA, 3387 nt
Organism: Ctenopharyngodon idella (grass carp)
Lineage: Eukaryota; Metazoa; Chordata; Actinopteri; Cypriniformes; Xenocyprididae
Exons: 3
Source: RefSeq, a predicted model, not a curated record